Molecule: ribosomal RNA, 466 nt
Filed under: Vreelandella stevensii
Lineage: Bacteria; Pseudomonadati; Pseudomonadota; Gammaproteobacteria; Oceanospirillales; Halomonadaceae
Description: partial 16S ribosomal RNA
Rfam family: Bacterial small subunit ribosomal RNA
Source: RNAcentral
CCUACGGGGUGCUGCAGUGGGGAAUAUUGGACAAUGGGCGAAAGCCUGAUCCAGCCAUGCCGCGUGUGUGAAGAAGGCCUUCGGGUUGUAAAGCACUUUCAGUGGGGUAGAAAGCCUUGGGGCUAAUACCCUCGAGGAAGGACAUCACCCACAGAAGAAGCACCGGCUAACUCCGUGCACAGCAGCCGCGGUAAUACGGAGGGUGCGAGCGUUAAUCGGAAUUACUGGGCGUAAAGCGCGCGUAGGCGGUCUGAUAAGCCGGUUGUGAAAGCCCCGGGCUCAACCUGGGAACGGCAUCCGGAACUGUCAGGCUAGAGUGCAGGAGAGGAAGGUAGAAUUCCCGGUGUAGCGGUGAAAUGCGUAGAGAUCGGGAGGAAUACCAGUGGCGAAGGCGGCCUUCUGGACUGACACUGACGCUGAGGUGCGAAAGCGUGGGUAGCAAACAGGAUUAGAUACCCUAGUAGUC